UAUGUAGGGUGCGAGCGUUGUCCGGAAUUAUUGGGCGUAAAGAGCUCGUAGGCGGUUUGUUGCGUCGGCCGUGAAAACCUGCAGCUUAACUGUGGGCCUGCGGCCGAUACGUGCAGACUUGAGUUCGGUAGGGGAGACUGGAAUUCCUGGUGUAGCGGUGAAAUGCGCAGAUAUCAGGAGGAACACCGGUGGCGAAGGCGGGUCUCUGGGCCGAUACUGACGCUGAGGAGCGAAAGCGUGGGGAGCGAACAGG
This 253-nucleotide ribosomal RNA is filed under the name uncultured bacterium. Its description in RNAcentral is "partial 16S ribosomal RNA". It matches the Rfam family "Bacterial small subunit ribosomal RNA", at positions 524 to 776 of the family's 1533-position model. The record is from RNAcentral.